CCUACGGGCGGCAGCAGUGGGGGAUAUUGGACAAUGGGGGGAACCCUGAUCCAGCGACGCCGCGUGAGUGAAGAAGUAUCUCGGUAUGUAAAGCUCUAUCAGCAGGGAAGAAGAAAUGACGGUACCUGAGUAAGAAGCCCCGGCUAACUACGUGCCAGCAGCCGCGGUAAUACGUAGGGGGCAAGCGUUAUCCGGAAUUACUGGGUGUAAAGGGAGCGUAGACGGUGAUGUAAGUCUGGAGUGAAAGGCGGGGGCCCAACCCCCGGACUGCUCUGGAAACUAUGUGACUGGAGUGCAGGAGAGGUGAGCGGAAUUCCUAGUGUAGCGGUGAAAUGCGUAGAUAUUAGGAGGAACCCCGAUUGCGAAGGCAGCCUGCCGGGGUGCGACUGACGCUGAGGCUCGAAGGUGCGGGUAUCAAACAGGAUUAGAUACCCUUGUAGUC
This 442-nucleotide ribosomal RNA is filed under the name uncultured bacterium. RNAcentral's name for it is "partial 16S ribosomal RNA". It matches the Rfam family "Bacterial small subunit ribosomal RNA", at positions 338 to 795 of the family's 1533-position model. The record is from RNAcentral.